RNAcentral lists this ribosomal RNA (825 nucleotides) under Halomonas sp. RNAcentral describes it as "bacterial SSU rRNA". It matches the Rfam family "Bacterial small subunit ribosomal RNA", at positions 70 to 887 of the family's 1533-position model. Lineage: Bacteria; Pseudomonadati; Pseudomonadota; Gammaproteobacteria; Oceanospirillales; Halomonadaceae. The record is from RNAcentral.
CAAUGGAAGCUUGCUUCCUGGCGGCCAGCGGCGGACGGGUGAGUAAUGCAUAGGAAUCUGCCCGAUAGUGGGGGAUAACGUGGGGAAACUCACGCUAAUACCGCAUACGUCCUACGGGAGAAAGCAGGGGAUCUUCGGACCUUGCGCUAUCGGAUGAGCCUAUGUCGGAUUAGCUAGUUGGUGAGGUAACGGCUCACCAAGGCGACGAUCCGUACCUGGUCUGAGAGGAUGAUCAGCCACACUGGGACUGAAACACGGCCCAUACUCCUACGGGAGGCAGCAGUGGGGAAUAUUGGACAAUGGGGGAAACCCUGAUCCAGCCAUGCCGCGUGUGUGAAGAAGGCCUUCGGGUUGUAAAGCACUUUCAGCGAGGAAGAAGGCCUGAGGGCUAAUACCCUUCAGGAAGGACAUCACUCGCAGAAGAAGCACCGGCUAACUCCGUGCCAGCAGCCGCGGUAAUACGGAGGGUGCGAGCGUUAAUCGGAAUUACUGGGCGUAAAGCGCGCGUAGGUGGCUUGAUAAGCCGGUUGUGAAAGCCCCGGGCUCAACCUGGGAACGGCAUCCGGAACUGUCAGGCUAGAGUGCAGGAGAGGAAGGUAGAAUUCCCGGUGUAGCGGUGAAAUGCGUAGAGAUCGGGAGGAAUACCAGUGGCGAAGGCGGCCUUCUGGACUGACACUGACACUGAGGUGCGAAAGCUGUGGGUAGCAAACAGGAUUAGAUACCCUGAUAGUCCACGCCGUAAACGAUGUCGACUAGCCGUUGGGUUCCUUGAGAACUUUUGUGGCGCAGUUAACGCGAUAAGUCGACCGCCUGGGGAGUACGGCC